Molecule: ribosomal RNA, 460 nt
Filed under: uncultured bacterium
Lineage: Bacteria
Description: partial 16S ribosomal RNA
Rfam family: Bacterial small subunit ribosomal RNA
Source: RNAcentral
ACUACGGGAGGCAGCAGUGAGGAAUAUUGGUCAAUGGGCGGGAGCCUGAACCAGCCAAGCCGCGUGAGGGAAGAAGGUACAGCGUAUCGUAAACCUCUUUUGUCAGGGAACAAAGGCGGGGACUAGUCCCCGGAUGAGGGUACCUGAAGAAAAAGCAUCGGCUAACUCCGUGCCAGCAGCCGCGGUAAUACGGAGGAUGCGAGCGUUAUCCGGAUGUAUUGGGCGGAAAGGGUGCGCAGGCGGUUGAGUAAGACAGAUGUGAAAUCCCCGAGCUAAAAUCGGGAAGGGCAUAUGUGACUGCUCGAUGAGAGUGUGUCAGAGGGAGGUGGAAUUCCACGUGUAGCAGUGAAAUGCGUAGAUAUGUGGAAGAACACCGAUGGCGAAGGCAGCCUCCUGGGACAUAACUGACGCUCAGGCACGAAAGCGUGGGGAGCAAACAGGAUUAGAUACCCGAGUAGUC